This 460-nucleotide ribosomal RNA is filed under the name uncultured bacterium. Its description in RNAcentral is "partial 16S ribosomal RNA". It matches the Rfam family "Bacterial small subunit ribosomal RNA", at positions 338 to 795 of the family's 1533-position model. The record is from RNAcentral.
CCUACGGGGGGCAGCAGUGAGGAAUAUUGGUCAAUGGACGAGAGUCUGAACCAGCCAAGUAGCGUGAAGGAUGACUGCCCUAUGGGUUGUAAACUUCUUUUAUAUGGGAAUAAAAUGUUCCACGUGUGGGAUUUUGUAUGUACCAUAUGAAUAAGGAUCGGCUAACUCCGUGCCAGCAGCCGCGGUAAUACGGAGGAUCCGAGCGUUAUCCGGGUUUAUUGGGUUUAAAGGGGGCGUAGGUGGAUUGUUAAGUUAGUUGUGAAAUUUUGCGGCUCAACCGUAAUAUUGCAGUUGAAACUGGCAGUCUUGAGUACAGUAGAGGUGGGCGGAAUGCGUGGUGUAGCGGUGAAAUGCUUAGAUAUCACGAAGAACUCCGAUUGCGAAGGCAGCUCACUGGACUGCAACUGACACUGAGGCUCGAAAGUGUGGGUAUCAAACAGGAUUAGAUACCCUUGUAGUC